UUCCAGACUCCUACGGGAGGCAGCAGUGGGGAAUAUUGCACAAUGGGGGAAACCCUGAUGCAGCGACGCCGCGUGAGUGAAGAAGUAUUUCGGUAUGUAAAGCUCUAUCAGCAGGGAAGAAAAUGACGGUACCUGAUUAAGAAGCCCCGGCUAACUACGUGCCAGCAGCCGCGGUAAUACGUAGGGGGCAAGCGUUAUCCGGAUUUACUGGGUGUAAAGGGAGCGUAGACGGUGAUGCAAGUCAGAAGUGAAAGCCCGGGGCUCAACUCCGGGACUGCUUUUGAAACUGUGUAACUGGAGUGCAGGAGAGGUAAGCGGAAUUCCUGGUGUAGCGGUGAAAUGCGUAGAUAUCAGGAGGAACACCAGUGGCGAAGGCGGCCUGCUGGACAGUAACUGACGUUGAGGCUCGAAAGCGUGGGGAGCAAACAGGAUUAGAUACCCCGGUA
This 446-nucleotide ribosomal RNA is filed under the name uncultured bacterium. RNAcentral describes it as "bacterial SSU rRNA". It matches the Rfam family "Bacterial small subunit ribosomal RNA", at positions 329 to 792 of the family's 1533-position model. The record is from RNAcentral.